UACGUAGGGACCGAGCGUUGUCCGGAUUCAUUGGGCGUAAAGAGCUCGUAGGCGGCUGUUCAAGUCGAACGUGAAAACUCGGAGCUCAACUCCGAGCCUGCGUUCGAUACUGGACGGCUAGAGUCUGGUAGGGGGAUCUGGAAUUCCUGGUGUAGCGGUGGAAUGCGCAGAUAUCAGGAGGAACACCAAUGGCGAAGGCAGCUCGCUGGAACGGAACUGACGCUGAGGCGCGAAAGCGUGGGGAGCGAACAGG
RNAcentral lists this ribosomal RNA (253 nucleotides) under uncultured bacterium. RNAcentral's name for it is "partial 16S ribosomal RNA". It matches the Rfam family "Bacterial small subunit ribosomal RNA", at positions 524 to 776 of the family's 1533-position model. The record is from RNAcentral.